Peromyscus leucopus (white-footed mouse) is the source of this 2267-nucleotide long non-coding RNA. RefSeq lists it as uncharacterized. Lineage: Eukaryota; Metazoa; Chordata; Mammalia; Rodentia; Cricetidae. The record is from RefSeq and is a predicted model, not a curated record. The transcript is spliced from 2 exons.
CAAGAUCCAAGAAAGCCAGUGGUACACAGUGAGACCCUGUCUCUGAAAACAACAACAAAAUAAAAUUUGUGUAGUCCUUAUGAUUGUUUUGUUCACUGUUUGGUAUCGUUUGAUGGUUUCCAUUCAUAUAAUCAGUUUUAUUUUUACUAAUUACAACUUCUAGUUCAAUACACUCUGGUGUCAAGAUCUCUUUAAGCUUGCUUCAUACUUUAGAAGCUGAAGUGUGCAGUGUGGGAGGAGGAUGUUCGAUGUGAUUUCUUCACUCUAAACUUCUCUUCCUCCUACCCAAUAGGCAGUCGCUACAGAGACUGUUCGAUUAGAACUGUGAUUGUGAAGAAGAAAUAUCCAGAAGACUUUCUUGAGAAAUCUGUUGGCCUGUCUUUGAAAGCUAUUAAGCAAUUCCUCCUCUCUCUGUGGGGUGCUUUUCUGAGUUUCUCAGAGAUGCCCUAAUUGGAAACCUCUUAAUGCACAUUAAUGCACUGAAUAGUAUGUCUCUUUACUUGAAGCAGUAGUCACAGUUCCUGGCAUGUAGCUUGGCAUUUUGUCAUGCACUCUUUUGUUGAGGUCCCUUUAUCCCAUGAUGGGUCUAAGUAAGAGAAUAGGUGCCAGUCUUGUGCCCUCUAAACUCUAGAGAAUAUAGGGAAAAUUCUUUCAGAGCAUCUUACCAUUCUACUUCAUACUCUGUGGUGUAUGUGGAUUCCCUUGCUCCAUCUAAGCUGAAGGAGAAGUAACUUCAUUUCUCCUGUGAAUGUGAAUAUGUGUCCUCUUUUAAAACAAUAGCCAAUUCUUAGAAACGGUCUAGAUAUCCUACAAUUCAGUUCUAUCCUGAGUUAAUACAGACCCACUGGUUAAGGACCUCUGCCCAUGUGUAGACACAUCCCUUUGUCCUCUAGUAAAGGAUAUUCCAGUCCUUCAUUUGCUCAGCCCUUUCCUGCAGAGCCUCUCCUCAUUUUCUCUCUUUUCCACCGAGAAUACAUGUGUGUCGUUUCCGGGAUCACGACUCUUCAGGCUGUGUCCAUACACUUCUCUCAGGAGGAAUGGGAACACCUGGACUCUGCUCAGAUGAAUUUACGGAAAGAAGUGAUUUUGGAGAAUUUCAGUCACCUGGUUUCAGUGGCUGUGAUCUCCUUAUUGGAACAAAGGAAAGAACUCUGGAUGGUUGACAUAGAGCUGAGCAGAGGUCUCUAUUCAGGUAAGCAAGGGAUGACAUGUCCAUAAGCUUUCUUCUGGGACAAAUACCUUCCUUUGUUUCCAAAACAACUAUUCUGUCUACAAUUUAAAGCAUAUGCCACAUUUCUAGUUAUAUAACACUGACUAUUCCCAUCCUAAGAAGUGUGUGUGUGUGUGUGUGUGUGUGUGAGUGUCUCAUUUCCCUGUGCUAGUUUUUAUUUCAUAUACUGCACAAUUUAAAUAUUUUUGAUCAGCUUGCCUAUAUGUAGCAGUUCAUGUUUUGAUUUUAAAAAGUAAAAAUCAGGGCUGGGCAAUAGUUGUGUUGGUGAGGUGAUUGCUGGGAAAGCAUGAGGACCUUCAUAAUCCACAAAGAAAUGGUGGGCAUGGUCAUACAUGCUUGUAAUCCCAGCCUAACCAUUGAGCUCCAAGGCUAAUGAGAGACACUGUCUCAAGAUUAAGGUAGAUAGUAAGCCUGAGAAAUGGUACCUGAGGCUGACCUCUGGCUUCUGUGCAUGCACACCCCUAAAUAACCAUAUCAUACACACAAAGUAAAAAUCAUUUUUACUGCUGUAUAUUUACAAUAUGGAGUUCUGAGUUAAGUACCACCCUUAAUACUGGGAACAGAAUGCAACCCAUGUCAAUCAGAUGCAGGUGGUACUCACAUGACCAGCAUGAUCAGUAGGAAUUUUCUUGAUGUAUCCUUUCUUCCAGCACAGUGCAAGAUAUAGUUGCUGUUGAUGCCGUAUGUUUAGACUGCUGUUCUCACCCUAUUUAUCUUUCUCUAUGCCAUUUGGAACUUGAUUUCCUAAUCCAGUUUUUGCUGCUGUGAAACAGCUUUGACAAACACUAAAUAUGCAUUUGAGUUAGCUGGAUUGUAUAUACUUGCAGAUUUUAAAAAAGGAUAGGGAAAUUGAAAAAGACAUGUAGAAUUUUGUUAGGUCUGCUAAGCACGGAUAUGAAGAUAUCUGCUUACAUUAAUUUUAUAAAGUCAUUCAGUCAGAAUAUAGGAUUCAGUCAUUGGCAGGUAUCUAUGCAUUCGUAGAACUUCUAAGGGUAAGGGAUUUUUUUUAUAGUUUAAAUAAAGUCAGCUGAAUCUA